RNAcentral lists this non-coding RNA (30 nucleotides) under Homo sapiens (human). The record is from RNAcentral. Lineage: Eukaryota; Metazoa; Chordata; Mammalia; Primates; Hominidae.
UGGGACAAUAGCCAGCUAGAGGAUAUUGGG